RNAcentral lists this ribosomal RNA (860 nucleotides) under Limosilactobacillus fermentum. Its description in RNAcentral is "bacterial SSU rRNA". Lineage: Bacteria; Bacillati; Bacillota; Bacilli; Lactobacillales; Lactobacillaceae. The record is from RNAcentral.
CGCCGUUGGACCCAUUGGCCCAAUUGAUGUGGUGCUUGCACCUGAUUGAUUUUGGUCGCCAACGAGUGGCGGACGGGUGAGUAACACGUAGGUAACCUGCCCAGAAGCGGGGGACAACAUUUGGAAACAGAUGCUAAUACCGCAUAACAACGUUGUUCGCAUGAACAACGCUUAAAAGAUGGCUUCUCGCUAUCACUUCUGGAUGGACCUGCGGUGCAUUAGCUUGUUGGUGGGGUAAUGGCCUACCAAGGCGAUGAUGCAUAGCCGAGUUGAGAGACUGAUCGGCCACAAUGGGACUGAGACACGGCCCAUACUCCUACGGGAGGCAGCAGUAGGGAAUCUUCCACAAUGGGCGCAAGCCUGAUGGAGCAACACCGCGUGAGUGAAGAAGGGUUUCGGCUCGUAAAGCUCUGUUGUUAAAGAAGAACACGUAUGAGAGUAACUGUUCAUACGUUGACGGUAUUUAACCAGAAAGUCACGGCUAACUACGUGCCAGCAGCCGCGGUAAUACGUAGGUGGCAAGCGUUAUCCGGAUUUAUUGGGCGUAAAGAGAGUGCAGGCGGUUUUCUAAGUCUGAUGUGAAAGCCUUCGGCUUAACCGGAGAAGUGCAUCGGAAACUGGAUAACUUGAGUGCAGAAGAGGGUAGUGGAACUCCAUGUGUAGCGGUGGAAUGCGUAGAUAUAUGGAAGAACACCAGUGGCGAAGGCGGCUACCUGGUCUGCAACUGACGCUGAGACUCGAAAGCAUGGGUAGCGAACAGGAUUAGAUACCCUGGUAGUCCAUGCCGUAAACGAUGAGUGCUAGGUGUUGGAGGGUUCCGCCCUUCAGUGCCGGAGCUAACGCAUAAGCAYCCCCSCCCC